Molecule: ribosomal RNA, 492 nt
Filed under: uncultured bacterium
Lineage: Bacteria
Description: partial 16S ribosomal RNA
Rfam family: Bacterial small subunit ribosomal RNA
Source: RNAcentral
AGUGAACGCUGGCGGUAAGCCUAACACAUGCAAGUCGAACGGCAGCACAGUAAGAGCUUGCUCUUACGGGUGGCGAGUGGCGGACGGGUGAGGAAUACAUCGGAAUCUACUUUUUCGUGGGGGAUAACGUAGGGAAACUUACGCUAAUACCGCAUACGACCUACGGGUGAAAGCAGGGGAUCUUCGGACCUUGCGCGAUUGAAUGAGCCGAUGUCGGAUUAGCUAGUUGGCGGGGUAAAGGCCCACCAAGGCGACGAUCCGUAGCUGGUCUGAGAGGAUGAUCAGCCACACUGGAACUGAGACACGGUCCAGACUCCUACGGGAGGCAGCAGUGGGGAAUAUUGGACAAUGGGCGCAAGCCUGAUCCAGCCAUACCGCGUGGGUGAAGAAGGCCCUCGGGUUGUAAAGCCCUUUUGUUGGGAAAGAAAAGCAGCAGGUUAAUACCCCGCUGUUCUGACGGUACCCAAAGAAUAAGCACCGGCUAACUUCGUG